RNAcentral lists this ribosomal RNA (756 nucleotides) under Triticum aestivum (bread wheat). RNAcentral describes it as "partial small subunit ribosomal RNA". Lineage: Eukaryota; Viridiplantae; Streptophyta; Magnoliopsida; Poales; Poaceae. The record is from RNAcentral.
AUGGACGUAUCCAUCAGGUUCUUGCAAAGCUAUAUGGAGUCCUUGAUGGCAGUAAAGUCAAACUCACGUUGUGACCCUGCUAAAGGAAAGCUGACGAUCGGUCUGGACGGUGCCACUAAGCACACAAGUGCAGCGGUGGGUGCUCUACCGACGUGGUCUAGGCCGGUGAAUGGAUGGGUAAAACUUAAUACAGAUGGGUCUUUUGUCUCAAGUGAAAUAGCUGGAGCAGGGAUGAUUCUGAGAGACUCGGACGGCAAGAUCAUCUUUUCGGCGUGCAGGGCUCUAUUCUCCUGUAGAGAUGCUUUGGAGGCUGAACUAGUUGCAUACACGUGGAGAAACUCCAGUACGAGGAGCUUCUCGGAAAGCCAGAGGAAAAGACAAGGACGGAGAAACCAAGGCGGAUGGCCGCCAGCAGCAGCAAAGCCUGCGAUGCCACCAGAUAGAUCGCCGCGGAGAUCCCUAAACCCCCGCAGUCCUGCACCGCCAGAACAGCUCCACCCUCCACCCACCCACCAUCCUCCGACGGCGCCGCCUCCUCGCGUCCUCCGCCCCGCCGUCCUUGCCGUUGCCGUCGCCGUCACCUCCAUCUCUCCCUCUCCGCCUGUUCCCUCCUACUACUCCCCGCCACCCGCAUUGCAACAUUUGCUCCCUUCCUCAACCUCCCCAGAGCCCUCCCCUGCUUCCCGGCCGGCCGAGCCUCACCCCAGCCCCCAGGUACCGCUCCCAGCUCUCCCUCCCGUCUCUCUGUCUCUCUAG